This 267-nucleotide ribosomal RNA is filed under the name uncultured Glomus. Its description in RNAcentral is "partial small subunit ribosomal RNA". It matches the Rfam family "Eukaryotic small subunit ribosomal RNA", at positions 605 to 877 of the family's 1831-position model. The record is from RNAcentral. Lineage: Eukaryota; Fungi; Glomeromycota; Glomeromycetes; Glomerales; Glomeraceae.
UAAAGUUGUUGCAGUUAAAUAGCUCGUAGUUGAAUUUCGGGAUCAAUACGUCGGUCGUGCCUUCGGUACGCACUGGGGUCGUUGAUUCCUCCCUUCUGAUGAACCAUGAUGUCAUUAAUUUGGUGUCGUGGGGAGUCAGAACUGUUACUUUGAAAAAUUAGAGUUUUUAAAGCAGGCAAACGCUUGAAUACAUUAGCAUGGAAUAAUGAAAUAGGACGUUCGAACCUAUUUUGUUGGUUUCUAGGUACAACGUAAUGAUUAAUAGGG